UACAUAAAAAAAUUAAAAGAAAAGCGGAUAGUGAAUGAUAUAUAACAUAACAACAAAAGGAAUAGCUUAAUAUAUACUGAUAAUAAUCAUAAGUCUCCAAAAUAACAAACAUAAAUCAAAUCAUAUCAUCACAUCUCCGUGAGCUACAAAGCAUAACUGAUAACUCUCUCUCAUUAUAAAAUUUAUAUGUAAUAAGACUCACUCCCUAAAAGACUAAAAACCCAGUGGAUCCGCCGCUACUAAGCCCACAUAACGUCUAAACAACGCAAAAAAAGAAAAAAAAAUGAAGAAACCACUCUACACACCCAAUAAGCUAGUGACACGUAAUCAGAUAGAGAACCGGCCUCUUAAACCCUGAGAACUGAGCCGAACACCAGAGCGGAAAGGAGAGCGACACCAGCGGCGGCUAAGGAAGGCGAGAUCGAGCCGGCUCCGGAAGCGGGAGCUGGAGCGGGAGAGAGAUCUUGAGCCGACCCUGCGAGAACCAAGGCGGCCAGGACAACGGCCAUCAUCAGCGUAGCCAUUGAAGCCUUUGAGAAUGCCAUUAUUGAAGCCUUUUUUUCUCAGGGUUUUUGAGAGCGUAACCGAAGGAAGCUGAGAGAGAUUCUUUUUCCUGUGUCUGUAUGUGGGAAGUGUUAGUAUUUAAGACAUGAGAAGAAAAUAGUGAGGUUUAUUUAUAGACUGAAAAGUGUGGACGGGAAGAGAGAAUUUCGGGCAGCGGCCCGGAUUUUUCCAGUCUGUCUAUUGGUUUCUUGACAGCUAUGUUUAUUUGUGGGGCCCAGUUAAUUAUAAUUUCACGCGACCGUUUAGGGUAUCGAACGGCGAAGCGACGUCGUGUCGGUUCACGAGUGUGACUUACGCCGAGGAAAUAAUUGAUUCUUUGGGAUUGGGAAAAAUUUGAGCAAAGUAAAAUUACGGAAACAGCAGCGAAUUAUAAUAUCGCAGUCUGUGAUAAACUUGAUAACUAUCUACUUGAAUUGAUAGGACAUAUAAAAAGAACAUUGUAUUAUUUAAAGGAUUGAAUAAUUUAAUUGAUAAAAAUCUCUUACCGCUAAGUUUGGAGAUCCAUUUGCACUCAAAUUUGGUGGAGGAAAAUUUUGAUUUCAGUUGUGUUAUGUUAUUAACAAAAAUUAUUGUUCAAAAAAUGCCUUUUUGUAGCUGCAAUAAAUGAGAAAAUUUUAAAGUACUUUUUUUUUAUUAUUUAUAUAAAUUGAACGAAAUCUUGGUGUGAUUAUUUUGUAAAUUCUCGAGAACUUUUGGGGUGGGGUGGGGGAUUUUGUGUAUGAAUGUAUGAUGAGUUCAUUGAAGAGGCGAAUGUUUAAUGGUGGGAUUGAUGAUUAGGGAUCAGUGAUGGUGCAGUUGAUUCCGCUACAAAGAUUUUUGUAAGCGCCCACAGACAGCCCACGUGGGAUGCGGUGGCUCGACCAUUAGGAGGAGGACGCGUGGAGACGUGGAAGGGCACGGGCUUUUUUAAUAUUCGAAUUUUGAAUUUGAAUAAUCGGAUGUGGACCUGUGGACAGUAUGAAAUGAUCGUGAAUUUUGUGGGUUUCCAGAACUUUCCGUUUGGCGUGUGCGACUGUGUGUUCAUUGGCAGGCACAUGUAGGAGUGUUACGAAGUUUACGCGUUAAACGUAUGCGGAAAGAAAAUGGUUUAACUUUGGGUAAAUGUUUAAAAAAGGAAAUUUCAAUCAACGCUUCUUCUUCUUCUUCUUUUUUUUUUUUUUAUUCCAUAAAAGAAGAUCUUUAAUUUCUGUAAUUAUAUCAUAAUUGAGUCCAAGAAGAUCUGGCUGCAUUGUUGUAAUUUUAUUUAGUUAACCAUAUAAAUUUGAGUCCCGAAGUUAAAAACUUAAUUUUAAUUUUAACUGCUCUUCCAUCUUCUUUUUGUUUUUGUUUUUGUUUUUAAAUGAUCAUGAAACACCUCUUCUCAUUAAUUAAUGUAGAAAAAAAAAGGUUUCAACCACUCCUACGUAUAUUAGCAUGAUUUCUUUUUUAAAUAUUAUUUGAUUGGUAUCAUUGCAAAGUUAAUUUAGAUUCAGUAGUUUAUUUUGGCUAAAACAUCAUAUAUUUAAGAUGCAUCAUCAGAAAAUUGAUUUAGAGUCACCUAAUUUUGAGCUCAAAUAUUAUAUAUUUGCACUCACAAUCAUAUAAUUGGUUUAGAUUUAAUCUGUUUUAAGCUCAAAUAUGUAGCUAUCACAUAAAUAAUUUAGAAUGUUACAAUAUUCUAAGGGCGUGGUCGGGUUAAUUAUAGUGCAGUUGUAGCCUCUACCAAAAUCCGGGUUCGAUUCUUAGAGAUCAAGAUUAUGUUUAGGCUCGCCCACCUCCUCUUACUUUAAAAAAAAAAAAUUUAGAAGGUUACUAAUAUUUUUUUAAUUAUAAAUAUCAAUAUAUAUUGUAAUGUAAUAUUCUUUUUUUUUUUAAAAAAAAAAGGUCAGGUAGAAUUGAUCUCCCUCAUACCAAAUUUUGUAAAAAAUAAUUUAGGUUAUGCCGAUUCAUAAGAUGAGGGGUUCAUAUAGUUUAGUUCAGUUGAUAAUUUUUUUUUUUUGGUUGAAAAAAGAGAUAUGAGAUUUAAAAUCAGUUUAGGUGAGCAAGGACGGUUUUGGGUUGUCACCGAGCUAAAUUAAAAAGGAUUAAUGAGAUGAGACGAGUGGUUUGUUAAAAAGAAUAGUGCCACAUAUUAUAAAGUUUGUGUCAAAAAAAUUCAUCCUAUAAAAGAAGAGACACUCCUAAUAGGCAUGAAAAAAAAUACAAUAAAUCGUUUUAAAACAUAACUGUGACUAGAACAUCCCCUUGUGAAGAUAUAUUUUUUAUUUUUUUAAAAAAAAUUAUUUAAAUAUCUCUAAUGUUCAUGCAACAAAUACGAUGAAUAGUCACAAGGGCAGUCUAGAAAAAGGCAUUUACAAAUACACGGCGGGCCAACAAAGAAUCAUUCACCUUCUAAUCCUUCGAUGUCUGCUUGCAACUCAACUAAACUAACAGCAUUCCAAAAUCAGCAAGAAAACGAUUUAAGAACUUAUUUUGGAAUGCUAUUAGUUUUUAAGGAUUAAUGAGAUGAGAUGAGUGGUUUAUUAAAAAGAGUAGUACCACCUACUGUAAAGUUUAUGUCAAAAAAAUCCAUCCAAUAAAAGAAGAGACACUCGUAAUAUGCAUUAAAAAAAAACACACAAUAAAUCAUUUUAAAACAUAACGUGAAUCAAACAUCACCUUAUGAAGAUAUAUAUAUUUAAAUAUCUCAAAUGUUCAUGCAACAAAUGCGAUGAAUAGUCACGAGGGCGGUCGAGAAAAUGCGUUGACAAUUACACGACCGGCCAACAAAAAAAUCAUUCACCUUCUAAUCCUUCAGUGUCUGCUUGCAACUCAACUAAACUGAUAGCAAUUAGCAUACCAAAAUAAGCCAAAAAAAAAAAAAAAAAAGAUUUAAGAAUCUUAUUAUUUUACUCGUUAAUAUUGCUAAGCAUAUGGCAGCCCUGGGCGGCUGUGGAGUGCAGCCUGGCGUUGGAUUUGCUCACAGACAGGACCUGUAAGGCUGAAACAACACGGCAGCAACAAAGAAAGUAGUUUUAUUUACGUAAUACAAUUUUUUAUACCUUUAUUUUUUAUCUGCAUGAUUUAGUUCUUACACAGACGUGCUAACGAGAAUCAUCCAGUAGCUGGUGUCACUUGUCAACUACUCCUUAACUUAAAGAGCAUAUUUGGGAUUGUCAAGUAUUCCCAAAUUAGUGAUUAUUUGAGAAUUUGUUAUCACAUAUGGUUGGUUCGAGUUAUUCUCUCAGACAUAUCACACCAAUAAUCAUCAAAUAAGUGAGAAUCAAACAAAAUUUGAAAGCAAAUUCUCAAGUAAUUGGUUAGAUUGUAUGAAAAUUUGACUUGUGAAUAUCAAGUAACCUCAGAAUUAGAAUGACUGUAAUGUAUACAUUGGCAUUUACUAUUUACUAAUCACCAAUCAUAGCUUUCUAUUUGGCUCAAUGGCUGAGUGCAAAUCCAGAUGAGCAUGAAAUUCAAAUCAACUCAAAAACCGUUAGAGAAAACAAAAUAUCUUUGAAGUAGUUAUCACUUCAUUAUUAUCAGUAGGAUGAAAAUGAUCGAAGUUAAAAACGUCCAAAAUUAUUAAAUUCAUUUAUCUAACCUGAAUAAUGGACACAUAUACCACGUUGGCUGUCAUUCCUCUGUACAUACAAGAAUCUCACUGUAUCAUCAAAGAGGCUAAUCCUAUGUAACAGUCCUCUCAAUUCGUAUUAUGCAACACGUCUAUCCGAAAAGCUCCUAAUCAUCUUUCUUCCUCGGCUAUUACCAUUCAUUCAAAAGUCAACUCAAAAGGUAGACAAAUUUAUUUGUUAAAAGCCCAAAACUUUAGAUGAUAUAUUCAUCAGAGGUUGUAAAGCACUCGGUGCAAAUUUUCUUCCAAAGAGAAAGCAAACUGUAGAGGGCUGGUUAUUGUAUUUGCAAUGCUGACCUCCAUAAACUUUCUUGAAAAACUCCUCUGUUAUGUCGGCUCUUCCGAAUGUGGCUGGAUGAGCACCACCUCUCGACCAAUCAACCCAAGUGCUGCUUCUAUUUGCCAAGAGAUUUGGCAUUUGAAUAGAUAGCAUGGUGGGAAAAUAGUGUUCGUCCACAUAACAAGGUGGUCUACAGAAUUCCGCGAAUUUUGGAUAAUAUGUAGUAUCUUCCACAAUGUUGACUGCAAGCCUUCGGUUGAUUUCAAACCAUUGGGAUCCUUUGCGCCACUGGGUAAUGUUCACCACAGGUGCCAUGUUCGCAUUGUAGCGUCCUCUCCCAUAUGGUCCAGGGUCAUCAAAUGAACCCAUGAAACUAUGUUUGGAUUUCUUUAUGUAAUGGUAGAUGAGGGAGAAAUUAUAAAGAGGAAUGCAAGACUCAGAGACAAGAAUGAACCAUUCAUUGGAGAUAUCAAGCAAUGCAUUAGCAAGGAGUCUUCUCUCAGCAUCGCACAUGCUCAUUUUUCCCCAUUCAGAGAUCUGCAAAGGGAAGAUACAGAAGACAUUACAAUCUCCUCUAAAUUUUGGGAAAUAUUGUAUUCAAAGCUAUGUGCUAAAGUAAAUAGAAUAAGCAGAUAAAGCAUAACCAUCAAAGGCUUUCAGAAGAAUGCAAGACAGUUCCACUACCAAACACUUCACCUAGAACAUGUAAUGAUAACAUUUGGUAAAGGUAAUCAUAAAACCUGUUAUUUUCCAGGAUCAAAGGGUAUCAAGUAUCAAUUUUACAUUUGGGACAGGAUUAUGGUAGCUGCUUGUUGUUGAAAUGGCACUGUAGCAGAGCUAACCAAAUCAGAUCUCCAUUUCUUGGAGGAUUUGUAUCCUGUUCCAGUUACUACAAGGGGGCAACUCAAGAACAUACAUGUCUUCCUACUUGUCCAAUACAAAAACGUAGGGAGAAAAAAAAAAUCAAAUAAAACGCACUUCGUCGAGCCAAUAUACAUACAGACAGCUCAACCCUCCCCCUUGGUGUUUUGGGAUCCAAAAUUUUUCACCUCCACACGAUAUAUGGCAGUGGUUACCAGCCUUAGAUAAACUUACACUGUUGCAGUUCCCAACUUUCAAAAUUCAACCCAAAAAAUGACCGACUCUUAUUGUUGAUCAUUCACUCAAACCCAGUUUUGCUGGUGAAAGUUAUAAUGUAUGCCAUCAAAUUAAUUAGAAAAUGUUUGCCAAGUAACAUUCAAGAAUGCCACCAUGUCAUCUAUGGAUUGUCCGCUCCUGCUAGAUUCCUCGCAAUUUCUCAUGGACUCCAAUAAUCCGUAAGGCAAUCAGGGGAAAAAAAAAGGAGCAAAAUUUUAACUUGGCUAAGCAAAAACAGAAUAUAUUUAGUUUAUAAACAGAAUCUGUUAAUCAGCAUAUUCCUAUUCAACAGAGUAUUUCUAGACUUUGAUCGUGAAUCACCAUGCAUAUAAAAGUGAUGAUGCUAAAUGGGAACACUACUUUCUACUUUCAAACACCAAGAGCCUACAGAUGACUGAGAGGUCCUAAGAACUGAAGAUUGUUAAACAAAAUUCGGAAAGCUAUGCAAGCAUGCUAACACUAUAUAGAUCCUCAAAAGAAUAAUUCACAUUAUAGGUAAAAAAUAAAGUACUGCUCAUCAUCACUCAAGAGAAGAAGAUCAUAACUUACAUCGUCAUAUAAUCAAUAGUACAACAAAGAUGAUCAGAUGAAGUUUCCACCAGAAUUUUAAAUGAAUAAAUAAAACCUGCAAUAGAUAGAUAUAAUGUCAGGCAUACCUGACUUGGGAUUUGUCUGUUGUAAAAAACUGAUGAAGAUGGAAACUUGUUCUCGAAUGUUGGCAGAGAAUGAACAUAGAUAGAAUAUAGCCCUUCAUGCCCCUUGAAAAACUUCUCCCAAAGAGGUCCAAGAGGUAAUGGCCCCUUCGUCAAGAACAUAAAUGCAAUCUUUGGAACUCUCUUAAAGGGAUACUCCUUCACUCGAGGCACAAAUGAGGCCCUCCAAAAAAGCUCCUUAUCACUCAUUGUGUGCAUUAAAUUUGAUGGAGGAUUUAUCCAAUAAUCCAAACCAUUCGGUAGUUCAGGGCAUGCCACAAAACUGGACUUAACCGUUGUCACAACACUCUGGACUCCAAACCGACGAACUGAGUAUAUACUAAUCAACGAAAAGGCUAUACACAGAGCCAGAAACAAACCAAAUAACUGAAAUAAUCUCAGUGGCAAGGCCCUAAAUUGAUUUGUCUUGUUAACAACUGCAGGGUCUUUGCCUUCCUCUAGCGGAACAACCCUUGCUUGCAUCUUUAUAACUCUAAAUCAAAUCAAAAUUUCACCUUCUGCGUCAGAUCCAAAUCAACAUCCUAGCAUCAAAAGCACUACUAAGCCUCAAAAUACCAGCUAAUUUAUUCACCAGAGCUAGCAAAAAAAACAGCUUUUUUUAAAUAUUUGAAAUUUGUGGAAUUCAAUAUGUUUCAGCAAAACAACCCCACUUAGCAACAGUAACGAAAUUAGAUCUAGAGCUGACACUACAGUACUCAAAAAGCAAGUAUUAACAGAUAUAGCACAAUCAUCAGCUUUCACAGCACAUGGGUUUCUUGAAUAAGAAGCUCUUAGCAAAAAUCAAAAGUCCAGAUCGGACUACUUGAUAGUCUAUAGAUCAAACGAAACCAUUAACGUGAUUGGUGGGGUGAUGAAAAACAGUACACGAUGGUGAACGUUCAACAUACCAUGUAAAUUUGUUGGGGCUAUAUGAGGAAACAAAGUUUGAAGCUUUAGCUCGAAUUGCGCCACCAAAGAAGAGAAACAGAACGGUCAAAUAAAUGAACAAAGUUAGGCAAAGAAAAUAAGAGGAGAAAAAGAGAAAAGUCCUUGGGACGCCCAAAGAGAGAGAGAAAAGGAGGUCCAAGAAAGUGGGGAAUCAAGGAAAUUUUGAGUGUGUGUGUAUGUAUGUAUAUAUAUAUAUAUAUAUAUAUAUAUAUAUAUAUAUAUAUAUAUAUAUAUAUAUAUAUAUGGGACUUUGAAUUUGAGGAAAUCACAGAAUUGUAAUUAGGUGAAUUGUGAAAUGUGGAGAAUUCAAAGAAUGUUUUUUGAUUUAACACGUACAGUGGAAGUGUCUGCUUCGUCUUUUGUGGGUUAGCCGUCACCAUGUGAGAGGCGGUUUUUGCAAGGUAAUAAUACGGCAAUGUCUUGCUGUCAUUUUGUAACGUUUUGGAAAACAAAUUUACCCUGAUUCAUUUGCCUUGAUAGAUCCUUUUUUUUUUUUAACCUUUUUUUUUAUAACUUGAAAUAGAAUGAAAUUAGUCAAAAUUUAAAUUUGAAUGAUAUGUAAAUUUUUUUAAAAUUUUUAAAAAUAAAUAUUAAAUUAUUUGUUUUUUAAUUUUAAAAAACUGACAGCCUAUACUUUUACAUUUUUACCCUUACUAAAUUUAAAUGUUGAAUAAAUAAUAUAUUUUUAAAAGAACUUAAAUAUGAUAAUAACAUUAUCUUUUUUUUUAAAAAAGGAUAAUAACAUUAUCUAAAUCAUCUUCAAGUAAAUGAUUUAUGAAAUCAUUCACUUGGCAUAGGGUUGUUCUAACUUAACCAAUGUUUUUUAUUCGAAUCUUGAAAAUGCAGUUGCGUUAAAUACUUAUUGGAAGAGCUUUGACGCCCUAGUGGUCUUACCCAGCUCGAAUUUGAAUUAGUCGAGACCUAAUGUAGUUUCGGAUACCAAAUAGUUUAAUACACGAAAAAAAAAAUUUAUAAAAUUAUAAUAUAAAAAGUUCUUUAAAAUUAUCACAAGUUCACAAUGCUAGUGCGUAAUAUAAGAAAAAACUAACAAGAUACUUGGGAAGUAAAAAAAAAGAAAGAAAAAACUGAACAAAAAUUCUACAAGAAAAGACUGUCAAUGGAAUCAAUUAUGGACUAUCAAAGGCCAUAAAGGAGAUUCAAGAAAUCCUUCGCGUGAAUGUUGUGUCUCAUCAUGAAAAGUAUCUUGCCUUGCCAUCUAUGGUAGGGAAAAACAAAAGACAAUUCUUCAAGUCGAUCAAGCUUCGAGUGCUCAACAAAUUAAAAGGAUGGAAGGCCAGGCUCUUCUCAAGCGGUGGGAAGGAAGUAUUGUUAAAGGCUGUCAUUCAAGCCACUCCUGUUUAUGCUAUGGGCGUUUUCAAGUUGCCAAAAUGCUUAUGCGAGGACCUACAGCGUUGCAUCACAAAUUGUUGGUCGGCCAACUAUGAUGACUCUAAAUGCAUUCACUGGCUUUCUUGGAAGAAUCUUUGCAAGCCAAGGAAGGACGGGGGGCAUGAGAUUUAGAUAUUUAGGUCCUGUUUGUGAUUGAAGUAUGCUGUUAAAAAAAAUUAUAGUUAUAUUAUAAAAAUUAAUAAUAUGUAGUAAAUAUAAAUUUUAAAUAAUAAUUUUGACAAAAUUAUUAAAGAUAUAAUAGAUUUUAUAUUAUACAAGUGAAAAAUCAUAUCAAUCUAAUUUUUAACUUAUAGCAGUUAGUAUUUACUGAACACUUUAGUGCUGUAGCUUAACCUCAAUCUCAAACGCGCUCUUAAGUUCCUUUAAUUAAGCGCUCUUGGCCAAGCAAUGUUGGGGAAUACUACAAGCACCUGAGUCUCUUUUGGCCAAAGUUCUUAAAGCUAGGUACUUUUCCAACACAAACUUCCUAAGUAGCAAAAUCAAAAGCGGCUCAUCUUUUGUAUGGAAGAGUACUCUAUGGGGCCGUGAAGCUAUCAACACUGGCUCAAGAUGGAGGGUUGGCGCUGGUAGGAGCAUAUUUAUUUAUAGAGAUAAUUGGAUGCCAAGUCCAUUAUCUUUUAAACCUAUAUCCCUGAAGACAUGCAUUGCCGAGUGAUUCUAAAGUUUCAGACCUGUUAAUAAAUGGUAACGAAUGGAAUGAGCAGCUAAUAAAGUAAUUCUUAAAAGGAGUCCCCUUGCCACGAGUCCCUACUAAUGACAUUUUAGUGUGGCGUUAUGAAAAAAAGGAGGAUUUUACACAGUUAAGAGUGGUUAUCAAGUGUCCCUUAUUCUCACUCAUCCUAAUUCCCCUUCAAGUUCAUUUGGCUCCGCUAAUUGGUGGUAUCCCUCUUGGCUUUUAACCAUUCCAUCUAAAGUCAAGAUCUUUUUCUGAAGAGCUCUACGCAAUAUACUCCCUACAUCAAAUAAUCUUUUUCAACGAAGGGUAGUGGAUUCCCCACAUUGUCAACGAUGUUACAGUGCUGUUGAGGACACCUUUCAUGUGCUAGUUAGCUGUAAGUUUGCGAUGAAGGUGUGGAAGUUGUCAACUAUGGCUGCUCACGUCACGAAUAGCCCUAAUAUGGAUUUUGCAUUUUUUUUGCUAAGAAUUUGGAAUCUUCGCUGUCAAAAGAGGACUACUAAUCUUUUGUGAUGAUUGCAUGGUCUAUUUGGCACUCUAGGAACAUAGCGCUCUAUCAACAUCAGAUGAUGGAUCCACAAAAUAUUCUUUGUGGCUGAAGCUGUUUUGAAUUCGACACUGCUACUCAAGGCUCCCCAAUUCAAGAGCUAUCGGUCUGUCCAACCGAGACGGAUGUUGGUUGGAUUCCACCAGAGACUCAUUGGUACAAAAUGAACGUUGAUGCAAACACUGACAUCUCUAAUGGAAUUACAAGUUUGGGUGCAAUAAAAAGAAAUUCCAAGGGAGAUUUCAUGGCUGCCUCAGCUCGCAAGAAAUCUUUUCUUGGUGACGUUGAGAUUACAGAUGCUGAGGUUGUCCUACAAUGCAUCAAGCUGGCGACAGAUUCGGACUUCUCUCCCUUGAUUGUCGAAUCUGACUCGGCAAAUGUUGUUCUUGUUGCAAAAAUAGUAUAUCGAUAUGCUACUUCGAUGGCACAUUUUGAGUGGGUUCCACGUAGCGAAUGUGGAAAAUCUUGUGAGGUUUGGAUUCUACUCCAUGAAAACUUCGAAAGUGUAUAUUUAUGUACUUAAAAUGGUGCUUGGCUGAAUGACAAAUUGUCUCUCAAAGUGCACUCUUGAAGUUGAAAAUUUGAAAGGAAAUGAGUUUUAUCCCACAAGGGAAAAUAAGUCAAGGGAUUUGUGUUUAUAUAUACACUUACCCAUGCAUGAGUAAGAAUUAUAAGGAUAGAGGUUUUCUCCACACGCGCAUGCGCCGGGGGAGGGGGUGUUGUAAAUUCUAGACUUAUUUGGUUAAAUUUGUGUGCGUCCGUGCGUCCUGCGCACGCGAAUAUCAGUCCAAAAUCACCCAAACUUGCAUGUCAAACAAGUUUUUAGAAAUUGUAAUACGCCCAUUAAUUAGCGAAAUUGACACUCUCUGUUAUUAACGAUCUUUGUUUGGUUGGAAGACCCUCUCGCAGACAUUGUGGUACACAUGUAAACUUUGUAUUUGUCCAGCAAGGAAAUGUUUUAAAAAAAAUAAAAAUUGUCGACUAUCAAAGGAACCGAUUCACUCUUAAACUUACAGUACACAAUAUUACAUGCCAAAUUAUGACUAAUUAUGCCUAAUGCAUUAAUAUCCUUUCACAACGGUGAAAUCUGAAGGCCCAAAAAUAUUGUCACUUGUUCAAGCCAAAAUAUUGAGGCCAGAUAAGCACCCUAAGGUCAAUAAAUAAUUAACGAAAUCAUACUAGCUUUCUAAUAAAAUCUAUCGAAAGUAAUAUAAAUUGAAAAAUGAUGGAGCACUUUUUAACCCUAAAGGCCUAAACUCAAAUUCACACCUUUAAGAAUGAAUUAAAAUCUAAUUAAAAAAAAGAUUUUAUAAAAAAAGAUUAUAUAAGGAUGAGUUUAUUAGUUGUACAUGGGUGACUUUUUUGAUAAAUAUAGAAAAUAAAUAAUUAAAUAGAGAUAUUUUUGACAUUAGAAUUUUAGUCGGUUUAUGCAGAAUUUUUAAUUUAGUAAAACGUAAAAAAAGAGGCUUAUUUUAUUCCAUCAAAAUUAUCUAAAAACCUCAUUAAAUCAUAAAAAUAACCAUCUUUAAUUGACUUAAUUAAUUAAGUUGUCAUUUAAUUAGAAAAAGAUACACCCCUUAGUUUUUAAUUCAAUUCGUAAUUAAACAGGAUACGUCUCUGUCAUUUGUGCACAAUUAAUAACAAUGCUUAUCCAGAAUCCUUUUAAUCGGCCUUUAAAUUGAAUAAGAAGAUGUUUGGAAGAAUUUUUUUAUCUCUAUCAUAAAUUGUGAGCAAGAAGAGAGGGCAUAUAACAACUAAGAGAAAAUAAGUACAAAGCACGAAAACCAGCUCUGCACUUUUUUCUAGUUCUUUCAGAUUCUGCACUCCGUUUAUUCCCCUCCCAUGUCAUGAAGAGAUGGGUCUUUUUCUCUUCUUCUUUUUUUUUUUUUUCCUAAUAUAAUUUCUAAAAGAAUUUAUGAACAAACAGGUAUUUAUAUGCACAAUUAAUCACGAGUCGCACAAACCAGUGAUUCCUGGCCACGAUCGUGCGAUAUUACGACAUUGCUGAUUUUUUUUCUUUUCUUUUCGUUGUGAGUAAUUAACAUAUAGGGCCCACCAACCACUGCAUCCCGAGAUUGCGUGCCAAAAUCAUGUAAAUUGAUUUUGGAAGUUUCGGAGCUAAGUACGCGUAGCAUUAUUACUGGAGAACAUUCAGCCUUCAAUGCUACGAGAAUUCUCGGGUUGUUGCACAUUGAUUUUGGAAGGUUGGUGCGCAGAAUGCCAUAGAAAAAGCUCACGCAACUCAGGUAAUUAUUUUUCCACGUGGCAGCUACAUGGAAAAUGAACGGGCACAGACUCCUAAAGUGCCACUAAAAUACAGUCGUAAUAGAUUAUACAAGCAAACGAAAGUUUUAAGAAAAAUGAAGUAUCAUUUCCGCAGCCCCUGCACAGAUUAGGGGAACUGCAAAGACAUGCUUUGACAAGAACAAAUCUCGAUUUCAAUCAUUCAGAAUAUUGACAUGCUGCACAAGAAAUUGAAUUCAUAUAUUUUCUGACCAAUGGUGAGUUGCAUCCCAUGGAUGCACUCCAUCAGCAGAACUGUCAACACACCAUGAUAUUUGUAUCCAGAAGACAAACUUUCCUAAAAAACACAACAUCAUUUAGCGAGCCAUUAAUCAGUUGACUGCUGUUAUGACAGCACUUUAUGCACGUAAUCAGAAGUAGACAUAUUUCGUCAAGCAACUCCCAUACAUUGCAUACUACAUGUAAUCCAGUCAAAUGUUUCUACCUCAUUCACAAGGAACAGUUAGGGCGUAUGUACCAAGAGAAGAGCUUUACUUCAGUGCUUCACCACUUCAAACUUGAAGCGGAGGUUGGAAAUCAUAACCGGGCACUCUCCUUUCUCAUCGUACUCGGCAUAGUCCCCUCCUGACAAGUCAAUGUCUUCAUACUGAGUCCCAGCAAGCUACACAAACAACUUACAGUUAGUUCGACAAAGCAAAACCAGAACAAAUAGAAUUUCUUUUUUUGGGGUCAUAGAGAAUUUUUCCUCAUAUUAAUCUCAGAUUAACGAGAUUAAUUUGACUCAUCAUCAUCGCACAAAUAAAAGAUGGCUUUAGUAACAACAAAUGUCUAUGAGGAUAGAAGCAAAAUGUGCAACAAGAAAAAGCAUCAACAGUAAUUAGAAGAAGAUAUAUUGAUGAUGAAUCUUCUUAGCUGCGGCAAAACAUUAACCCAAAAAGUACCAAGUGCAUUUACAGCUGUCUGCAUGGGAAUGAGAUAGUUAGGAGCACAGUAGAAAAAGAGGAGAAACAUGUGUAAUGCAUUCGCCUGUUCUUAUCGAAUGAAUGCAAGUUACACUUCAUCCAGCUCAUCUUUAAUACAGUUAGUAAGCAAAUAGAAUCUUCAAACAAGGUUUCCAUUCCAAAGUCUGCCCACCCUUCGCCAUUCAAGUCAAGAGUAAGCCGAUAGGAGACUGAGAGAGCAAAAAUCUAUUGUCAUGCUCUCCACCUAAAUAGAGAGGCAGAAACCAUAAAGGCUAAACUAGAGCAAAUAAUCAAACAAUAUGCUAACACAUUAAAGAAAAAGCUGGAAAGAAUUUGUAAACUAAAGAGCUCAAUGUUGAAAAUAUUCACAACCGUGAAAUGCAUAAAAAAGGAUAAGAUGUAUCUUAAAUGAAGAUGGUCAUGCAUAAUCAUAAAUACGAACACUCAACUUGCGCUCUGAUAACACAAUGCAGUGCUCACAAGUCAUUUCCAUCCACCACUUGAAAUAUGUCUAAUGUUUAGUGUUCAAAAACUAUGGGGAAAGGGCAAGAAUAGAAACUUACAGAUUCAACUUUCCAUCCAACACCAAAGACGAAAUCCACAGGCUCAUAACCCCUGCAGUCGAAUAACAUCAAGGGGCUAAAACCCCCAGAUUGAGCAGCUUCCUGGGUCAGUGGUUUACCCCGGCCUGGGAUCAUAGUAACAGUUCCUUCUCUCCCACAAAAUUUGCACUGUGAAGAAAGAUAUGGAGCCAGAAAAUCACCAACAACCAGAACACAGUCAUUUUAUAAAUAGAGUGAAAAAGUUUCAUCUGUAAUAUGUCACAGCAACACUUGAAAAUACAGACAAUAUGUCACGGUCAUUUAUACUACAAGUCUCUAACAGAUUAAUCUACCCAAGAAACUUGAAAAUAUGCAAGAAAUCCAUAGUACCAGAUCCUCAUUCCCACACCUUCAAAGUAAUUACUCAAGCUCAACCAAAGAAACUUAAUAAUUCUUUUUCCAUUCUAAAUCCAAGGCAUCAAAAAGCAUAUAUAGGUCAUUGAACAGAAAAAAAAUACAAUUUAUACUAGAAGUCCCAAGAAAAACUAUAUCUUGAAAGCUUGUCGCAUGCAAGCAAUUUUUACAAGAUAUCAAAAGAGCUGAAGAAUUACAUUCAAAUCAUAAAAAGAAAAGCUCUGAAGUUCACAAAGAAUCAUGAGGAUACAUUAUAGAGUUAUGUUCUAUCAUGAUUCCAUGAACUCGUUCACAACAACAGUAACAGAAAGGCCUUGGUUUUAAGUCCAAGAAAUUGAUUUGUUACACUAUGCUACUGCUAAACAUCUCCAGUUUGACUACAAACAAUAAUAUACAUCUAAGCUCAAAUGGCACCAAUUUUAACUAGCUUGAUGAAUAUAUAUAUUCAAUUAGGGAUCUCUGGUUGUAUUAAAGUUGGGAAUAAGCUAACAGACAAAAAAAAAACAGACUCCAGUGCAGUGUAUUUUGUUCCGUAUUGUGUUGAAAUUUGUGUUUUCUGUCAUUUAACUUAUCCCUAACGUUAAUAUGAUCAGGGAUCCCUGAUAGAAAACUCUCUCUCUCUCUCUCUCUCUCUCUCUCUAUAUAUAUAUAUAUAUAUAUAUAGAUAUAUGUGUGUGUGUGCGCGCGCAAUAGUGAUGUACUGCAACCUAUUUUAAUCUCCACUGCAAGUGUAUAUUACUUGAAACAAUUUACAUUAGCAAUAUCUGGUACAAGUAUCAUGACUACAGACCAUCUAAUUGCAUCAUUUAUCUAAAGAUAAAUGAUUAAAUGAAAUAUGUAACUUCACUAAACUAAGCCUGAGGUACCAGUAUAACAGCUUUUCCUUCACAGUUUGAUCAUUUGGUUAGAGCAUAUAUCUAUUUAAAGUCCUCGCAAUAAGACAAACAAGAUCACUCACAUUUUAAUACAUACACAAAGAGAGGAAGAGAGAGAGGUAUUACUUUUUGAAUGAGAUUUGUGGUUCCCUUGCCUCCUUGAGUAGGAAGAGUUUCAGCCAAGCUCACACAAGUUUCUUUCUGGCUUAGUUCUCCGCAUCCACACUUCAACUACACCUCACAAAAAAUAAACAGAUAAACAUCUAAUUCAGAGAGCAUUGCAAGAUUAAAAUUCAAUUCCAACAUUAACUAACUAGAAUCAACAAAACAAACAUAUAAUAUAAUUUGAUAAGAGUGAUAUACAAUGUUACUGAAAAUCAACUUAUAUGAACAUCCAUAAGCAUAUAUAAAUCAGAUCUGAAAAUAAUAUGAUGAGUGACAGAGAUUGAACUGAAUAUAAUCAUUAUACAUAAAAACACAAACAUACAUAACAGGAGACAACAAAUUUGAACACUUAGAAAAAGAAUCAAAACAAAAAAUCCAAAGCAAAACAAGGUGAAGAGCAUUACUAGAGAUCAUAGUCACAAUAAUCAUCUGUAUUUGAAAAUCAAGUAAAAUGAGUAACCUAAAACCAGAAACCUAAAAAUAAGUACUCGCAUUCAUUUGGUGUACGAGAGAGAGCAAUGAAAACAGAAAAGAAAAAUCCAUACCGAAAUUCAUCCAUUAUGUGAAGCAAAGCGAGCAGUGCAAGAAGUAAAUACGAAGUAAAGAAGAAUCAAGAGCGGCGAAACGGAGGUAAUACUGAGGGAGAGAAAGAGAGGGGACCUUGAAGAAGUAAGAGAAGUUAGGAUCGUCGCAGCCGCCUUGAGGUUGGAGAUUGGUGAGGUUCUCGAGAUCGGCGCUGAUCAUCAGCAUGCAAUUCACCAUUUUCGCUUAGCUUUCCAGUGCCAAAAUAUUCUCUCUCUAUUUUUUCAGCGUGCUGGAUGGACGGAUGGGUUGAGACUUGAGAGAGACAAGGUAAGUGCUCGCCGCUUCGAUCGAGGGAAUUCUAUUAUACGCGCGUGGCUUGGCGAAUGUUGCCCGCCCACGGAGAUUACAUCGAUACGAUAAUUGUUUUGAACGACAUGUCGUAUUUUUCUUGGAUGGUAAACAGACAAGACGUUUAUACUUGGUGAAAAUGCUACAAUUUUGUAAUCGGGAUUUGUAUGACCAACUAGGGUCGCAUAAAGUCAGUAGAGUUUGGUAUACAUGUACAAAUAAUUUGUUACGUGCUUUGUAUCUAAGCUGGAGAUAGUAUUAUGAUUUUAAAAAAAUUUUCAAACGAAAAAUUUUAACGAAAUCUUUCAAUUUUUUAUUUCAUUGUAUUUAACUCUAUAUAUUUCUCUAUUCGUAGAGUACAUUGAAUGUACAAAAAUAGUUAUAACAUAAUUCUUAUUAUUUGUAUUAACAGUUACUCUAUAAACAAUGUUGUUGUGAAGCUGUUAGUUUAAUUAUGUUACUAGUAUGCUGACGUGGCGAGCUGAGCUGGAGUGUGGGCCUGCUGUUAGUUAGAAGCCGUUAUUAUUAACGGUUGAUUCCAAAAACAGAGGCAUGCAUAUAUAAGGGUUGGUUUGUGGCAUAGUUAGCGUGUGAUUUUAAGGGUGAUAGAGUGAGAGAUAAUAAAUUCUGUAAACUAAAGAUUUAAUCUCUGCACUCCAUAGAUUCUUUGUGUAAUCGUCUCCAUUAAUAAAGCUUAAGCCUUCUGCUGGUUUUUCAGCCGUUGAUGUAGGUACCUUGAUACUGAACCACGUAAACUCUUUCUCUGUGCUUGCUUCUUGGUUCUUGGUUCUUGUUGAAUCUUACUGUUGUUAUUUGUUUCUAAUUCUAGUUCUUGGUUGUUCUGAGUUGAUCCUAUUAUGUUAACUAGUUCAAGGUGGUUGCAUUUGUCGAUUAAGCAUUAACAAACUGGUAUCAGAGCUUGGUUCAUUGAGGCUGUUCUUG
RNAcentral lists this long non-coding RNA (16860 nucleotides) under Citrus sinensis (sweet orange). RNAcentral's name for it is "long non-coding RNA (CSIN_LNC001830)". The record is from RNAcentral. Lineage: Eukaryota; Viridiplantae; Streptophyta; Magnoliopsida; Sapindales; Rutaceae.